Molecule: ribosomal RNA, 253 nt
Filed under: uncultured bacterium
Lineage: Bacteria
Description: partial 16S ribosomal RNA
Rfam family: Bacterial small subunit ribosomal RNA
Source: RNAcentral
GACGUAGGGCGCGAGCGUUGUCCGGAUUUAUUGGGCGUAAAGCGCGCGUAGGCGGUUAUCUAAGUCGGAUGUGAAAGCCCUCGGCUUAACUGAGGAAGUGCACCCGAAACUGGAUAGCUAGAGUACGAAAGAGGGUCGCGGAAUUCCCGGUGUAGAGGUGAAAUUCGUAGAUAUCGGGAGGAACACCGGUGGCGAAGGCGGCGACCUGGGUCGAGACUGACGCUGAGGCGCGAAAGCGUGGGGAGCAAACAGG